RNAcentral lists this ribosomal RNA (515 nucleotides) under uncultured Entrophosporaceae. RNAcentral's name for it is "SSU rRNA". It matches the Rfam family "Eukaryotic small subunit ribosomal RNA", at positions 569 to 1078 of the family's 1831-position model. Lineage: Eukaryota; Fungi; Glomeromycota; Glomeromycetes; Entrophosporales; Entrophosporaceae. The record is from RNAcentral.
AGCAGCCGCGGUAAUUCCAGCUCCAAUAGCGUAUAUUAAAGUUGUUGCAGUUAAAAAGCUCGUAGUUGAAUUUCGGGAUUGGCGCAUCGGUCGUGCCUCACGGGGUAUGAACUGGUGCAGUCAAUUUCUCACCUUCUGGAGGACCGCGAUGUCCUUAAUUGGAUGCCGCGGGGAACCAGGACCUUUACUUUGAAAAAAUUAGAGUGUUUAAGGCAGGCAUUUUUGCUUGAAUACAUUAGCAUGGAAUAAUAAAAUAGGACGGCAUGGUUCUAUUUUGUUGGUUUCUAGGACCACCGUAAUGAUUAAUAGGGAUAGUUGGGGGCAUUAGUAUUCAAUUGUCAGAGGUGAAAUUCUUGGAUUUAUUGGAGACUAACUACUGCGAAAGCAUUUGCCAAGGAUGUUUUCAUUAAUCAAGAACGAAAGUUAGGGGAUCGAAGACGAUCAGAUACCGUCGUAGUCUUAACCAUAAACUAUGCCGACUAGGAAUCAGACGAUGUUAAUUUUUUAAUGACUCG